Molecule: unclassified non-coding RNA, 227 nt
Filed under: root metagenome
Description: partial contains small subunit ribosomal RNA, internal transcribed spacer 1, and 5.8S ribosomal RNA
Source: RNAcentral
UCUCCGUUGGUGAACCAGCGGAGGGAUCAUUACCGAGUUUACAAACUCCCAAACCCUUUGUGAACCUUACCAUAUUGUUGCUUCGGCGGGACCGCCCCGGCGCCUUCGGGCCCGGAACCAGGCGCCCGCCGGAGGCCCCAAAAAACCAUCGCUUUCAGUACCGGCCUCUCUGAGUUACUGUACUUUUAAUUAAGUCAAAACUUUCAACAACGGAUCUCUUGGUUCUG